AAUCCCAGGUUUUCUAACUAUGACUGGCGUCUGUUUUUAGGACAAUGGAGGUUGCCAUCAUAACUGCACCAAUACUCCUGGUUCGUUUCAAUGUACUUGCCAUCCAACGUACAAGCUACAGAUAGACAGAAAAACUUGUGGUCAUUGCCCCACGUGUGAUGAUUUUGAGGCCUUGUUAGUGACCGUUGAAGACCUAAAAAA
This is a long non-coding RNA of Orbicella faveolata, 201 nucleotides long. Lineage: Eukaryota; Metazoa; Cnidaria; Anthozoa; Scleractinia; Merulinidae. The record is from RefSeq and is a predicted model, not a curated record.